Molecule: ribosomal RNA, 402 nt
Filed under: Fusobacteriota bacterium
Lineage: Bacteria; Fusobacteriati; Fusobacteriota
Description: Fusobacteria bacterium partial 16S ribosomal RNA
Rfam family: Bacterial small subunit ribosomal RNA
Source: RNAcentral
UGGGGAAUUUUGCACAAUGGGGGAAACCCUGAUGCAGCGACGCCGCGUGAUUUAGAAGGCCUUCGGGUUGUAAAAAUCUUUUCUAUGGGAAGAAAAUGACAGUACCAUAGGAAUAAGGACCGGCUAAUUACGUGCCAGCAGCCGCGGUAAUACGUAAGGUCCGAGCGUUGUCCGGAAUCAUUGGGCGUAAAGGGUACGUAGGCGGGUAAGCAAGUAAGAAGUGAAAUCCUAUAGCUCAACUAUAGUAAGCUUUUAAAACUGCUCAUCUUGAGGUAUGGAAGGGAAAGUGGAAUUCCUAGUGUAGCGGUGAAAUGCGCAGAUAUUAGGAGGAAUACCGGUGGCGAAGGCGACUUUCUGGCCAUAACCUGACGCUGAGGUACAAAAGCGUGGGUAGCAAACAGG